RNAcentral lists this ribosomal RNA (465 nucleotides) under uncultured Klebsiella sp. RNAcentral describes it as "bacterial SSU rRNA". It matches the Rfam family "Bacterial small subunit ribosomal RNA", at positions 338 to 795 of the family's 1533-position model. The record is from RNAcentral. Lineage: Bacteria; Pseudomonadati; Pseudomonadota; Gammaproteobacteria; Enterobacterales; Enterobacteriaceae.
CCUACGGGGUGCUGCAGUGGGGAAUAUUGCACAAUGGGCGCAAGCCUGAUGCAGCCAUGCCGCGUGUGUGAAGAAGGCCUUCGGGUUGUAAAGCACUUUCAGCGGGGAGGAAGGCGGUGAGGUUAAUAACCUCAUCGAUUGACGUUACCCGCAGAAGAAGCACCGGCUAACUCCGUGCCAGCAGCCGCGGUAAUACGGAGGGUGCAAGCGUUAAUCGGAAUUACUGGGCGUAAAGCGCACGCAGGCGGUCUGUCAAGUCGGAUGUGAAAUCCCCGGGCUCAACCUGGGAACUGCAUUCGAAACUGGCGGGCGAGAGUCUUGUAGAGGGGGGUAGAAUUCCAGGUGUAGCGGUGAAAUGCGUAGAGAUCUGGAGGAAUACCGGUGGCGAAGGCGGCCCCCUGGACAAAGACUGACGCUCAGGUGCGAAAGCUUGGGGAGCAAACAGGAUUAGAUACCCUUGGAGUC